ACACAUAAAGGCCUAAGACAAGGAGAUCCGAUGUCCCCUAUCCUGUUUAACAUUGUGGUUGAUAUGUUAGCCAUCUUGAUAGGAAGGGCUAAGGAGAAUGGUCAAGUAGGUGGCUUGGUACCUCGUCUGGUUGAUGGAGGUGUAUCCAUCCUUCAGUACGCUGAUGAUACAAUCAUCUUUAUGGAGCAUGACUUGGCUAAGGCGAGAAAUAUGAAGCUGGUGUUAUGCCUUUUUGAACAAUUGACCGGGUUAAAGAUUAACUUUCAUAAGAGCGAGUUGUUCUGCUUUGGUAGAGCCAAAGACGAACAGGAGGCUUAUAGGCAAUUGUUUGGGUGCGACUUGGGGGAUUUACCUUUCUCUUACCUAGGUAUUCCAAUCCACCAUCGAAAGCUGACUAACAAAGAAUGGAAGUGCAUCGAAGACCGGUUUGAGAAGAAACUGAGUUGCUGGAAGGGCAAGCUCAUGUCAUACGGAGGCCGGUUAAUUCUGAUUAAUUCGGUGCUCACGAGUAUGUCUAUGUUUCUCUUAUCGUUCUUUCAAGUCCCAGUUGGUGUUAGGAAAAGACUGGACUUUUAUCGAUCGCGUUUCUUUUGGCAGGGUGAUGAUCUAAAAAGAAAAUACAGACUUGCUAAAUGGGAUAUCAUCUGUAGACCGAAAGACCAAGGGGGUCUUGGUAUUGAAAAUCUUGAAGUUAAGAACAGAUGCCUUCUUAGCAAGUGGCUGUGGAAGCUUUCUUUUGAGACUGAUGCCAUGUGGGCCCAAAUUCUUCGCAGCAAGUACCUACAGACAAAAUCCUUGUCCCAGGUCACAGUCAGGCCAACUGACUCGCCUUUCUGGAAAGGGCUGAUGAAAGUCAAACAAUCUUUGUUUAAUAGGACAAAGGUUGUUAUUGGCAACGGCGCUAGUACACGCUUCUGGGAGGAUACUUGGCUCGGCAAGACACCCUUGACCAUUCAAUAUCCGUCUUUAUAUCGCAUUGUUCAACGACGUGAGGUGUUCGUUGCUACGGUGUUUCAAUCUAUCCCCCUUAAUAUUCAGUUCAGACGGUCGUUAGUGGGAAAUCGUUGGGAAGAUUGGCUCCUUCUAGUACGGAGACUAAUGGAUGUACAGCUUUCUCAACAACCCGAUGAAUUACGCUGGAAACUGACUAGGUCUGGAGUAUUCACGGUUAAAUCAAUGUAUAUUGAUGUAAUUAAUUCGAGCUCCAUUCCUACCUCCAAGCAUGUUUGGGCUGUCAAAAUUCCUUUGAAAAUAAAAGUGUUUAUGUGGUUUGUCCAUAAACAGGUUAUUUUAACCAAGGAUAACUUGAUUAAGCGUAACUGGACAGGACCUACGAGGUGUAGCUUCUGUGAUCGGGACGAGACGAUCAAACAUCUCUUUCUUGAUUGCCCGUUUGCCAGAGUCCUUUGGCGGACGGUUCACAUUGCCUUUAAUAUUACUCCACCGAAUUCCGUCAAUACGUUAUUUGGGACAUGGCUCACU
This 1482-nucleotide ribosomal RNA is filed under the name Triticum aestivum (bread wheat). RNAcentral describes it as "partial small subunit ribosomal RNA". The record is from RNAcentral. Lineage: Eukaryota; Viridiplantae; Streptophyta; Magnoliopsida; Poales; Poaceae.